GGCCUGGUAGCCAAGUGGAAAGGCAGCGGUCUGCAAAACCGUUAUGCGCCGGUUCAAAUCCGGCCCAGGCCUCGA
This 75-nucleotide transfer RNA is filed under the name bacterium. RNAcentral's name for it is "tRNA-Cys". It matches the Rfam family "tRNA". Rfam says of the family: Transfer RNA (tRNA) molecules are approximately 80 nucleotides in length. Their secondary structure includes four short double-helical elements and three loops (D, anti-codon, and T loops). Further hydrogen bonds mediate the characteristic L-shaped molecular structure. tRNAs have two regions of fundamental functional importance: the anti-codon, which is responsible for specific mRNA codon recognition, and the 3' end, to which the tRNAs corresponding amino acid is attached (by aminoacyl-tRNA synthetases). tRNAs cope with the degeneracy of the genetic code in two manners: having more than one tRNA (with a specific anti-codon) for a particular amino acid; and 'wobble' base-pairing, i.e. permitting non-standard base-pairing at the 3rd anti-codon position. The record is from RNAcentral.